RNAcentral lists this ribosomal RNA (875 nucleotides) under Tricholoma arvernense. RNAcentral describes it as "eukaryotic LSU rRNA". It matches the Rfam family "Eukaryotic large subunit ribosomal RNA", at positions 79 to 938 of the family's 3401-position model. Lineage: Eukaryota; Fungi; Basidiomycota; Agaricomycetes; Agaricales; Tricholomataceae. The record is from RNAcentral.
CCUAGUAACUGCGAGUGAAGCGGGAAAAGCUCAAAUUUAAAAUCUGAGGGUCCUUGCGGCCUUCCGAGUUGUAAUCUAGAGAAGUGCUAUCCGCGCUGGACCGUGUACAAGUCUCCUGGAACGGAGCGUCAUAGAGGGUGAGAAUCCCGUCUUUGACACGGACUACCAGGGCUUAUGUGAUGUGCUCUCAAAGAGUCGAGUUGUUUGGGAAUGCAGCUCUAAAUGGGUGGUAAAUUCCAUCUAAAGCUAAAUAUUGGCGAGAGACCGAUAGCGAACAAGUACCGUGAGGGAAAGAUGAAAAGAACUUUGGAAAGAGAGUUAAACAGUACGUGAAAUUGUUGAAAGGGAAACGCUUGAAGUCAGUCGCGUUGGCCAGGAAUCAACCUUGCUUUUGCUUGGCGUAUUUUCUGGUUAACGGGUCAGCAUCAAUUUUGAUCGGUGGAUAAAGGUCAGGGGAAUGUGGCAUCUUCGGAUGUGUUAUAGCCCUUGGUUGCAUACAUCGGUUGGGAUUGAGGAACUCAGCACGCCGCAAGGCCGGGUUUUAACCACGUACGUGCUUAGGAUGCUGGCAUAAUGGCUUUAAUCGACCCGUCUUGAAACACGGACCAAGGAGUCUAACAUGCACGCGAGUGUUUGGGUGGAAAACCCGAGCGCGUAAUGAAAGUGAAAAUUGAGAUCCCUGUCGUGGGGAGCAUCGAUGCCCGGACCAGACCUUUUGUGACGGUUCCGCGGUUGAGCGUGUAUGCUGGGACCCGAAAGAUGGUGAACUAUGCCUGAAUAGGGUGAAGCCAGAGGAAACUCUGGUGGAGGCUCGUAGCGAUUCUGACGUGCAAAUCGAUCGUCAAAUUUGGGUAUAGGGGCGAAAGACUAAUCGA